This 858-nucleotide ribosomal RNA is filed under the name uncultured Acidithiobacillus sp. RNAcentral's name for it is "bacterial SSU rRNA". It matches the Rfam family "Bacterial small subunit ribosomal RNA", at positions 43 to 900 of the family's 1533-position model. The record is from RNAcentral. Lineage: Bacteria; Pseudomonadati; Pseudomonadota; Acidithiobacillia; Acidithiobacillales; Acidithiobacillaceae.
CAUGCCUACCAUGCAAGUCGAACGGUAACAGGUCUUCGGAUGCUGACGAGUGGCGGACGGGUGAGUAAUGCGUAGGAAUCUGUCUUUGAGUGGGGGACAACCCAGGGAAACUUGGGCUAAUACCGCAUAAGCCCUGAGGGGGAAAGCGGGGGAUCUUCGGACCUCGCGCUGGAAGAGGAGCCUACGUCUGAUUAGCUAGUUGGUAGGGUAAAGGCCUACCAAGGCGACGAUCGGUAGCUGGUCUGAGAGGACGACCAGCCACACUGGGACUGAGACACGGCCCAGACUCCUACGGGAGGCAGCAGUGGGGAAUUUUUCGCAAUGGGGGCAACCCUGACGAAGCAAUGCCGCGUGAAUGAAGAAGGCCUUCGGGUUGUAAAGUUCCUUCGUGGAGGACGAAAAGGUGGGUGCUAAUAUCGCCUGCUGUUGACGUGAAUCCAAGAAGAAGCACCGGCUAACUCCGUGCCAGCAGCCGCGGUAAUACGGGGGGUGCAAGCGUUAAUCGGAAUCACUGGGCGUAAAGGGUGCGUAGGCGGUACGUUAGGUCUGUCGUGAAAUCCCCGGGCUCAACCUGGGAAUGGCGGCGGAAACCGGUGUACUAGAGUAUGGGAGAGGGUGGUGGAAUUCCAGGUGUAGCGGUGAAAUGCGUAGAGAUCUGGAGGAACAUCAGUGGCGAAGGCGGCCACCUGGCCCAAUACUGACGCUGAGGCACGAAAGCGUGGGGAGCAAACAGGACUAGAUACCCUGGUAGUCCACGCCCUAAACGAUGAAUACUAGAUGUUUGGUGCCUAGCGUACUGAGUGUCGUAGCUAACGCGAUAAGUAUUCCGCCUGGGAAGUACGGCCGCAAGGUUAAAAC